GACGAACCGUGCAAACGUUAUUCGGAAUCACUGGGCUUAAAGCGCGUGUAGGCGGGACGGCACGUCGGUCGCUGAAAUCCCCCGGCUCAACCGGGGAAUGGGCGCCGAUACGACCGUCCUGGAGGAACGUAGGGGGACCUGGAACUUCCGGUGGAGCGGUGAAAUGCGUUGAGAUCGGAAGGAACGCCCGUGGCGAAAGCGAGGUCCUGGACGUUUUCUGACGCUGAGACGGCGAAAGCCAGGGGAGCCGAACGGG
RNAcentral lists this ribosomal RNA (256 nucleotides) under uncultured bacterium. Its description in RNAcentral is "partial 16S ribosomal RNA". It matches the Rfam family "Bacterial small subunit ribosomal RNA", at positions 524 to 776 of the family's 1533-position model. The record is from RNAcentral.